Molecule: long non-coding RNA, 1113 nt
Filed under: Oryctolagus cuniculus (rabbit)
Lineage: Eukaryota; Metazoa; Chordata; Mammalia; Lagomorpha; Leporidae
Description: lncRNA (ENSOCUG00000030580.1)
Source: RNAcentral
CAGCUGUACGGCAUUGGAGCUCGGGAGAGACCGCUUAGUUCCAGCCGCCGCCGGCGCCCGAGGAGUGCGCGCUGCGGGCAUUCAGUGCGCCAUACGCGUCCUCCGAGAUGCCCCGGGACCCCGGCGGCUGAUACAGGGCGCCCCUGGCCGAGGCGCUCAGGACCGCGCCGCCCAGCGAGUCGCUCGCCGGCCUAUAAUACGGCGCCCUGGGAGCGCCAGGCCCGUUCCCUGGCACGCUGUCGCCGCCGCCCGAGGCCCCGGCGCUGGAGGGCGCGGAGCCGCUGGGGCCCGCGGGUCCAGGCAGCGCCCUCCCUUCCUGCCACGCGUUUUUCCACCAGACUGUAUUUUUACUUUGCCUUUUUAUAUGCAGAACACAAUGUAUUUAAUUUUUAAUUCAACUUUUAAACUGUUCCCUCGAAGGUGUUUCUGUGAUGGGAGCAUCUUCAGCAAGGGCUUCUUGUACAGCGGGGGUUGCCCUGGGCCUCCCGGCCGCAGAAGCCGAAAUAAAGCACCUGGGCCUGUCCCGCACGCCUGCCUCUGUGGUUGCUGGGGGCGUGAGAGCCCUGGACACGUCUCCUGCAGGGAGCCCACUGCCUUCCAGGACCCCCAGACAGGCAGGGGGUGGGGCUCAGGUGGUGGACCCCCUUCUCGGCCUCCAGUGUCCCCAGGAGGGUAGCGUGUGCUCCCCCCGGCUCUGCUCUCCGGCUGACCAGUACAAGCUCUGACGGCAUCCUGGCUGCACACCUCCGGUCCCUCAGCUCUGGAGCCCGGGCCACCAGCCUGGGGCCUCUCCAUGCCACCUGCUUGGUGUCCCCUCACCGGGCAUGCCCACAUGUCCAGACACAGGCAGCCCUGCCCACCCUGCAGGGCCUAGGGGGUCUGAGCAAGGAGGAGGGUUUCAUGUCUCAGGGGGAGGGGUUGUGUCCUACCCCCACACCCCCCAGCACACAACUCUGAUGUGGAGCAGUCACCUGCACUCACCGUCCCUGGUAGACUCUGUGGCUGCCCUGUGUGUGUGCAUGUCCUUGUGUGUAUGUCUGUCCUCAUGUGUGUGUCUCCACAGGUGUGCAUCUGUCCUGUAUGUGUCCCCACAUGUGUAUGUCUAUCCCAUGU